GCCGGGGCUUCUUCUCCUGCUACCGUCAUCAUCUUCGCAGGUGAAAGAGCUUUACAACCCUAAGGCCUUCUUCACUCGCGCGGCAUGGCUGGAUCAGGCUUGCGCCCAUUGUCCAAUAUUCCCC
RNAcentral lists this ribosomal RNA (124 nucleotides) under uncultured bacterium. Its description in RNAcentral is "partial 16S ribosomal RNA". The record is from RNAcentral.